CACAACUCCUGGAUCACGUAUGGGGAGGGUGGGGUAGGGAUCUGGGAGUUGGGUGGGCAGAGGAAGAAAGCUACAGCCUUAUCUGAUGUAAUGAGAAGUCAGUUAGUAACACCUGAAACUGAAAACUCAAGAAGCAACAUUUCCAAGCAGCCUCACUGAAGAGAGAUCAUGAGCUGAUGGGAAAACUGAACACUGACUAAAUAUUGGAUCAUAUCGAGGAAUGAUUAUUAAUUUUUAAGUCUGCGACUGUUUUUGUCAUUUGUAAAGAUUGAGCAGUUUAACGUGAAAGAUGCUACGCGGGAAGAAAACUGAGCAGCAGAGUGCGUCAGGAGAGGCUCUUCCUGCCGCCUCUGACCUGACAGCAGCGGGCCGGGACCCGGGGGCCUCUGACCCGACAGCAGCUACUGUUUCCCAGGCUUGGGUUCCUCCUCUGUAAAAAUCUGAUCAAGGACAAUGGCAUUGAUUUUGGUGGCAGAAGUAGGAAGUGUUCGCAAAGUCAUUUCAGUUCCUCGGAGGUAAGAACUGUUACUGACCCCACUAACAUGAGGAAGGAUGGUCCCUGGAGAUGUACAGAGUCAGCCAAAUUUAGUUUUUCUCUGUUCUGCAAAGUCUAGUUUCUGUUUAGAGAUCAACCAGUAACGAGCAGAGGCAGGAACUGGCGUGUGGUGAGUACCUGUCACUCUCCGGAGCACUUGGGUGAGACACAGAAGUACUUCUUCAUCCGACAGAGUCUCCAUGAACUCAGACUCAAGCCCGGCAAUGAACCCACAGAGAACGUGGACAGACCUGCAUGGAGAAGGAGAGGCCUGGGAUGACCAGACCUGCAUGGAGAGAACCCUGGGAUGACGGCGUCCAGUCCAGCUCUCCGCCCGCGUCUCUCAGCAAGGAACCACUGAUGGAGCAGGGGCCCCAGAGGCACAAAGAGCCACCCCACGGAGCGUCCCUCAGGCAGCAGUUCGCAGAGUGUGGGCGGCAAAGUCCUGGGGGAGAAGACCCUGCCAGGGACCCUCAAGGUCACAGCCAUCUUCAGACGCUAAGACAGCAUUUGCUGUUUCCACCACGCCGACGUGCACCUGAGCAAGAACCAGGGCAGGUAAACCGUCCCUUAGCAGAAUCAAGCAGCAACAGGACCCACGUGCGCCUACAGGCGUUCCCACCACCACACAAGCAGGUUACAAAAUGCUGCUUUUUGCAGCCGUAAAAGAACGAGAUCAUGUCCUUUGCAGGGACAUGGAUGGAGCUGGAGGCCAUCAUCCUUAGCAAACUAACACAGGAACAGAAAAGCAGAUAGCACAUGUUUUCCCUUUCAAGUGGGAGCUAAAUGAUGAGAACACACACUGGCGCCUAUGGGAGGGUGGAGGAUGGGAGGAGGGAGAGGAGCAGGAAAAAUAACUAAUGGGUACUAGGUUUAAUUCCUGGGUGAUGAACUAAUCUGUACAACAAGCCCCCACGAUACACGGUUAGCUAUAUAACAAACCUGCACGUGUACCCCUGCCUCUGAAUAUGAAAGUUAAAAUAUAUAUAUUAAAAAAUAAAAAUGCUGCUUUCACUUGAGAAUGUCAUUGAUCAAAGGCAAUAAAAGUUACUAAUUUUAUUAAAUCUUGA
Molecule: long non-coding RNA, 1605 nt
Organism: Symphalangus syndactylus (siamang)
Lineage: Eukaryota; Metazoa; Chordata; Mammalia; Primates; Hylobatidae
Source: RefSeq, a predicted model, not a curated record